This 520-nucleotide long non-coding RNA is filed under the name Mus musculus (house mouse). RNAcentral's name for it is "long non-coding RNA chr17:23824216-23824736". Lineage: Eukaryota; Metazoa; Chordata; Mammalia; Rodentia; Muridae. The record is from RNAcentral.
UCUCCAUAAUCUGGAUUCCACUACACCUCAUACUCUGGAGACAUGAGUAUUCCUCAUUUUUCCCAGAAGAAUCAUGGAAGGAGUCUUUGUAUGCCUUCCCUUGAACCUUGGCAGCAUCUUGAGGGGAGAGCGUCCUCUCCCACCCACCCUUUUUUUUUUUUUUUUUUUUUUUGGUUCCUGUGAAAUGUUGAUCUCUGUGAGUUUUUCCUGGUUCUUGUGUUUUGGGGGUUGGAGUGGGAGGGAGGGAGUCUAGGGAGGGAGGGGCACAGCUCAGGACAUCUAGGCCUCAGAUUGUGAUGAUCCAGGGAGUUAGCUCCCUAAAUUCUUGGGUGACUGAUGGUUUAACUUGGUAAGUUGUAAUCUUUCCUGAAAGAGGAAGGAGCUGAAGUUGGUUGGCCCUGCUGCACCCCCUUACAAGGUUGUGAGGCCCUCUCCCCCCCAACUUUGUUUAAGGCAUUUUGGUUUUUUAAAAUCUGUACAGUAAAAGCAACUUUUUCUGUCAAAUAAAAAUGAGAAAUGC